UGCAUAGGAAUCUACCUAGUAGUAUGGGAUAGCCACUAGAAAUGGUGGGUAAUACUGUAUAAUCCCUGCGGGGGAAAGAUUUAUCGCUAUUAGAUGAGCCUAUGUUAGAUUAGCUAGUUGGUAGGGUAAAGGCCUACCAAGGCGAUGAUCUAUAGCUGGUCUGAGAGGAUGAUCAGCCACACUGGAACUGAGAUACGGUCCAGACUCCUACGGGAGGCAGCAGUGGGGAAUAUUGGACAAUGGGCGCAAGCCUGAUCCAGCUAUGCCGCGUGAGUGAGGAAGGCCCUAGGGUUGUAAAACUCUUUCAGUAGGGAAGAUAAUGACGGUACCUACAGAAGAAGUCCCGGCAAACUCCGUGCCAGCAGCCGCGGUAAUACGGAGGGGGCGAGCAUUGUUCGGAAUUAUUGGGCGUAAAGGGCAUGUAGGCGGUUUGGUAAGUUAAAGGUGAAAUGCCAGGGCUUAACCCUGGAGCUGCUUUUAAUACUGCCAGACUAGAGACCGGGAGAGGAUAGCGGAAUUCCUAGUGUAGAGGUGAAAUUCGUAGAUAUUAGGAGGAACACCAGUGGCGAAGGCGGCUAUCUGG
This 583-nucleotide ribosomal RNA is filed under the name Anaplasma sp. RNAcentral's name for it is "bacterial SSU rRNA". It matches the Rfam family "Bacterial small subunit ribosomal RNA", at positions 114 to 732 of the family's 1533-position model. Lineage: Bacteria; Pseudomonadati; Pseudomonadota; Alphaproteobacteria; Rickettsiales; Anaplasmataceae. The record is from RNAcentral.